UAGAUGAGGAUGAGGCAAUAUUAGCCUUAUAUCCAACACUUGAUCUGAGGGAUUUGUUUCCAAGUGAUUGUGUUGCUGCCGAAAAUCCGU
Molecule: small nucleolar RNA, 90 nt
Organism: Macadamia integrifolia
Lineage: Eukaryota; Viridiplantae; Streptophyta; Magnoliopsida; Proteales; Proteaceae
Product: small nucleolar RNA snoR31
Exons: 1
Source: RefSeq, a predicted model, not a curated record